CAAUCAAUGAUGAUUCUCAAAGAUUCCCUGGAAAGCUGAACAAAAUGAGUGGUUACUUAAGACAACCACUCAUGUCUAGACUGAGAUUU
Molecule: small nucleolar RNA, 89 nt
Organism: Arvicanthis niloticus (Nile rat)
Lineage: Eukaryota; Metazoa; Chordata; Mammalia; Rodentia; Muridae
Product: small nucleolar RNA SNORD116
Source: RefSeq, a predicted model, not a curated record